This 873-nucleotide ribosomal RNA is filed under the name uncultured bacterium. RNAcentral's name for it is "bacterial SSU rRNA". It matches the Rfam family "Bacterial small subunit ribosomal RNA", at positions 60 to 933 of the family's 1533-position model. The record is from RNAcentral.
AGUCGGACGGGAUUGAGGAGCUUGCUUCUCAUGAGAGUGGCGCACGGGUGCGUAACACGUAUGUAACCUACCUUGUUCAGGGGGAUAGCCUCUCGAAAGAGAGAUUAACACCGCAUAAAAUCAAUUUAUGGCAUCAUAGAAUGAUCAAAUAUUUAUAGGAACAAGAUGGGCAUGCGGAACAUUAGCUAGUUGGUAAGGUAACGGCUUACCAAGGCUACGAUGUUUAGGGGAUCUGAGAGGAUGACCCCCCACACUGGUACUGAGACACGGACCAGACUCCUACGGGAGGCAGCAGUAAGGAAUAUUGGUCAAUGGACGCAAGUCUGAACCAGCCAUGCCGCGUGCAGGAAGACGGCCCUACGGGUUGUAAACUGCUUUUGUACCGGAAUAAACCUUUUCACGUGUGAGAAGCUGAAUGUACGGUAAGAAUAAGGAUCGGCUAACUCCGUGCCAGCAGCCGCGGUAAUACGGAGGAUCCAAGCGUUAUCCGGAUUUAUUGGGUUUAAAGGGUGCGUAGGUGGCCUAUUAAGUCAGGGGUGAAAGACGGUAGCUUAACUAUCGCAGUGCCUUUGAUACUGAUGGGCUUGAAUACACUUGAGGUAGGCGGAAUGUGACAAGUAGCGGUGAAAUGCAUAGAUAUGUCACAGAACACCAAUUGCGAAGGCAGCUUACUAAAGUGUUAUUGACACUGAGGCACGAAAGCGUGGGGAUCAAACAGGAUUAGAUACCCUGGUAGUCCACGCCCUAAACGAUGAAUACUCGAUGUUGGCGAUAUACGGUCAGCGUCUAAGCGAAAGCGUUAAGUAUUCCACCUGGGGAGUACGCCCGCAAGGGUGAAACUCAAAGGAAUUGACGGGGGCCCGCACAAGCGGA